This 444-nucleotide ribosomal RNA is filed under the name uncultured bacterium. RNAcentral describes it as "bacterial SSU rRNA". It matches the Rfam family "Bacterial small subunit ribosomal RNA", at positions 354 to 796 of the family's 1533-position model. The record is from RNAcentral.
GUAGGGAAUAUUGGACAAUGGGUGCAAGCCUGAUCCAGCCAUGCCGCGUGCAGGAAGAAAGCCUUCUGGGUUGUAAACUGCUUUUGCCAGGGGAUAAAAUAGUCUUGCGAGACGAAUUGAAGGUACCUGGUGAAUAAGCCACGGCUAACUACGUGCCAGCAGCCGCGGUAAUACGUAGGUGGCAAGCGUUGUCCGGAUUUAUUGGGUUUAAAGGGUGCGUAGGCGGUCAAAUAAGUCAGUGGUGAAAUACGGCAGCUUAACUGUCGAGGUGCCAUUGAUACUGCUUGACUUGAGUACUGAUGAGGUAGGCGGAAUGGACGGUGUAGCGGUGAAAUGCUUAGAGAUCGUCCAGAACACCGAUAGCGAAGGCAGCUUACUAAGGAGUAACUGACGCUGAGGCACGAAAGUGUGGGGAUCAAACAGGAUUAGAAACCCGGGUAGUCC